UACGUAGGGUGCGAGCGUUAAUCGGAAUUACUGGGCGUAAAGCGUGCGCAGGCGGUUUUGUAAGCCGGAUGUGAAAUCCCCGGGCUUAACCUGGGAAUGGCAUUCGGGACUGCAAGGCUGGAGUGCGGCAGAGGAGACUGGAAUUCCACGUGUAGCGGUGAAAUGCGUAGAGAUGUGGAGGAACACCAAUGGCGAAGGCAGCCUUCUGGGCCAACACUGACGCUCAUGCACGAAAGCGUGGGGAGCAAACAGG
RNAcentral lists this ribosomal RNA (253 nucleotides) under uncultured bacterium. RNAcentral describes it as "partial 16S ribosomal RNA". It matches the Rfam family "Bacterial small subunit ribosomal RNA", at positions 524 to 776 of the family's 1533-position model. The record is from RNAcentral.